Felis catus (domestic cat) is the source of this 326-nucleotide long non-coding RNA. RefSeq lists it as uncharacterized. The transcript is spliced from 2 exons. The record is from RefSeq and is a predicted model, not a curated record. Lineage: Eukaryota; Metazoa; Chordata; Mammalia; Carnivora; Felidae.
CCGAGAACCUCCCGGACCCCACUCUGCUCCUGGGGAUUCGCCCUUCCCACCAGAGCACCACCAGGUGGACGGAGUGUAAUCACAGGGGUCCUUCUACGUGGGAGGUGGAAGGGUCACAGGCAGAGUGGGACCUGUGAUAACAGAAGCAGAGAUAGGAGUGAUGCAGGAAGAGGCCAUGAGCCCAAGAAUACAGGUGGCCCCUAGAAGCUGAAGAGGCAGAGUCAUCCCUCGAGCCUCUAGAAGGAGUGCAGCCUUGCUGACACCUUGAUUUUAGGUCUUCUGACCUCCACAAUUGUGAGAUAAUAAAUUCGUGUUGUUGUAAGCCA